UGCCUCUGCCUCCCCAGGGCUGGGCUUAAAGUCAUGCCUACAACUGUCUAGCUCAUUUGAUAAUUUUAAGACAUGCCAUGUAAUUGUGGUACUGUGAAAGACUUUGGGGAAAAACAGCUAUUAUAUAUUUUUUUGCAGUGACAAAUUCUGUAAUAAUUCCAUGAGGAAACAGCCUAAGUUAACUUAGCAAUACCCAAAGGAGUCAAUGGUGAGAACCAGGAGUGGCCUGUCUUAGUCAGAUAAUCAUUAAUUCCCAGGGUAGAAGGUAGCAGAACCAGAUGGGGACUUCAUUGGCCCCUCUUCUUCCACUUGAAAGUCACAACAGCAAACAACUGAAGGGAAGUACUUGUGAGAAGACCAAUACAUUAGAACUCUUGGGGGUUUGGGGAUUUAGCUCAGUGGUAGAGCACUUGCCUAGCAAGUGCAAGGCUCUGGGUUCGGUCCUUGGCUCCAGGAAAAAAAAAAGAAAGAAAAAAAAAAGAAUUCUUGGAAUUUUCUGACACAAGCUUUUAAAUCGUGCAUUUCAUCAGUUUUUAGCUCAGGUUUCAUUUCCUAAAACUGACUCUAUUCUUGUUCCACAAGUGAACCUGUUCUGUUUUCUUUAUAUCGUGUAUCAUUCCCUAAAAGUGUCUCAUAUAUUCAUUUACACCCAUGGUUAUUUUAUUCCUCCCACUGGGGAGAAAGGAAUCUUUACAAGGACUGCUCUAGGAAUAUAACAGCCAAAAACAAUGUUCAGUAACUGUUUUCUGAGGUGAUGGCAUACAGUGAAAGUUCAUAAUUUAGCCCAUUUUCCAUUCUGUAUGUGUGGGGGCAAAAAAAAAUCUCUGAAGGCAUUGGUUUUCUGCACCCAACAGUAAAAUUGUAUAUAAUGAGUAUAUAAUGAGUAGAUACAUAUCAUGACUUCUUAUUCCAGACAAUCAACAAUAUACUGACUUUUCACUGUAUCUGAGCUACUAUAAAGGAGUACCUAAAACCAGGUUGUUUAUGAAUUAAAACCAUAUUAGUUAUGCUUCCUGUAGUAGUGAAGUAGAUAACCAAGGGAAGGCACUUGCAGACUCAUUUUAGAGGGAAGCCUCUGUGUAUGCUUACUUAGUGGAUGAAAGAAACAAACAGCAAUUUUUCAUAAGGCACCGAUGCCUUUCAUGAAGGUUCCUUAGUCUCAAGCUAAUCAUAUUCCAGAUGUUCAACUUCCUGACCCCACUACAAUGAGCACAGAAUUUCAAGAUAUGAAUUAGGAGAAGAUGGAAACAUUCACAUUACAACAGACUCCAUUUAAAGAUUAUUCGUGUUUACCAAAGUUAUCUGUAUUUUUAUCUUCCUUUCUCAGUAGGCUCUGUGCUUUAGAAAAGAUAUGCUUUCUCAGAAUAUAUUAGUAGCCAUUAGAUUAGCAUAACUUACUUUUGUUAUGAAAUAAUUAAUGACAAUAAGAAACAGUAAGAAAAUAAAAGCAUCCAUUUUUAUUUUUAUAGCUUUUUGUUAUGUGUUCUGGGAGGAUAAAAGGGCAAAUAUCCCCAUGGCUUUGAAGGAAAAUACAGUGAGCUGGAGGGAAUGAAAAAGAGAGUUGGAAUUCAGGAGGACAAAAAAGUGUACUCCACAUUUCCAUAGUGAAUCCAAACCAACCUUUGGUUAACAACACAGUUAUUUUCUUUGAUUAUUCUUUAGUUUUCACUUUUAUAAUGUUGUAGAGAGAAUAUCUUGAGUAUUGAAUGGAUGCAUCACCUGUCAUUUAAAAAACAUAUGGCCUAUCGGAAAGGGUAAACUGGAAGGUGGGACAUCCGGGAGACAGAAAGAAUUAUGGGAUAGAGCCCGGCACAGAGAUUGGCCCGGAAGAUGUGAGAAAUCAGACGUAGGGCACCUAAGCACUGGAAACCAGCUACAUGGCAGAAUAAGUGGGAGUGUGGAGAGCUGUUGGAAUUUGAAAGCUGAAGACAGAGGAAGAGUAAGUUUUCCUGAAGGUUGUAUCUGUUGGUAGAUUGGCUGGGCUCAAGUGGAAGGCCACAUAUACAAGAGUAUGUAGGCAGCACAAAUUGAAUGGGAUGGGCAGAAAGGAUGCAAAGUUGGGUGUGUAGGGAACGGUGUGUGUGGGUCUGGGGGCAGGGAGCUGAGGGAGAAAAUAUGAUUAAAUACAUUGUAGAAAAUUCUACAACUAAUUAAAAAUUAAGAAAAAAUUAACAGUCGAGCAAAUGGAGUAAUGGAAGACUUCCGAUAUUUGUACAGCAAUUUGAUGACAUGUAUGGAGUGGAAAAUAAAACUUACAGUCAAUUCAAUACUGUUAAAGUACAGUAUCAUGAUCAUGGCUAACACUUUUAAAUGGUUUUCAUAUCCGAAUACUUUCCACAGCCUGCAUAUUACUGUAUGAGCCUGCAACUCAUUGGCUAUGACUAUGUUGGUCUUUGUAUUUCCUUAUCUCUCCAAGUAUCCUCACUUGGCUAGCUUUUCUCUCGGUGCCUUGGAAUAUAUUCUCAACCUGGGCACAUGGCUUAUUUCAUCACGUGAGGACCUAGCUUCAUUUUCACCACCUAGAAUGUCUUUUUUAUUCUACAGCCUUUCAAUGUCAUGACUGCUUCUUAUUCCUCUAGGUAGUAUUUCUGUCGUCACUGGGAUACCCUGAUUUGCUGAGAGCACGAUUUCAUUUCCAAACUCCGGCUGCUGAAACAGGAAUUUCACUGCAUAAACACAGAAGCCAUUGAGGUCUUAUUAGAGGCCGUUGAGUGAGGAGACUUUUGGAAGGGAUACAAACAUUAGUCCCUUAUUUUCUGCCUCCUGUUGAAGAUUUUCACAGCAGGGUGACUGGAAUCUAUGAAGGCAACUUUGUGAGUUAAGGGCUAAAGACCAUGUGGACAACAGGGUACAGCCAUGGAAAACCUUAAAAGCUGAUCUCAGGAAUGCCUGUGAGAAUCUGGACUGCCAACCGUGAUGUGAGUAUGAGGAGAGCCUCUGGUUUGUUUAAGUAGACAUAGCUGUGUCUGUUACUGUCUGUAGAAAAUUUAUGCAUUAUAUAAGGGAAAUUAUAAAUAUUAUAACUCUGUUGGGAGCAAUCCUAAAGAUUCAUUUGUUUGGUUCCAAGCCAUCAGGCUGUUACUUUAUUGAAAAUCACACUUUAAAACUUCCAUUAUUUUUCUGACCCAUACCAGAAUAGCCAAUGACAGUUUCUAAAAGUAGGAUCUUCAAUCUGUAAUGCUAUUUUUAUAACUUUUUUCCUUCUGGUUAGCUAUGUAAUCAUAAAGCUAUUUUUAAAAAAAAAGCACAAAGUAAGAUUGUGUAUAUUCUCUUGCUUUGCACACAAAUAGUAUCCCUUUAUGUUAUAUGCAUUUAAAAUUUUUCCAAGGCAAGUGUAUAUUCUGAAAGCAACGUGGUGCAGAGUGGGGUUUACCUAAAAGCUUGAUGAUUGAAUAACGACUUGGGCUUUGAUCCAAAAAAAUUAAUGAAGAGAAUACAAGUUGGUGAAGGGAAGAGAAACAUAUUUUUUCUUUUGUUUUAGAUACAAACAUUCUGCUUGGAAACAGAGAGGUGCUUCCCUGUAUCUUUACUAGAAGGACUCUGUGGAACACUCACGACCCAUUCCUAUACAGAUAGCAGCUGGAUCAUGUGCCUCUCUAUAGCAAAUGGACAAAAAGGGGAGGCAGAGAUGACUCUUUGUAAGGCAAUCAUCUCUGCUGGGUCAUGGAAGACCAGGGGCAAUUUUCAGGGAUCCCCAGAAUGACUUUCUGUCUGUGUCAAAACAGGAUCUCCAUCAACACCUGUCAUUGCCUUUCGGAGGUCUUUUAGAGUAUGAAUUGGUCUGUUCAAACUCUCAAAUGACACCUGUAGGAAGCAUUCUACUCUUAUUACAAAUCAUUUUACUGACUUCCGAUUCAACAAUUGCUUUGGGGCAGCAGUUAAUGUCCCCAAUGUAUCAGAAGGGAUUCUAGUAACUAUUCUUUAUGUAGAGAGAACUACUCUAGUUUUGUAGAAGAAACUUCCUUUAAUCUCAACAGUCUCUUAACAAUAGGUUUAGGUCAACAGAAACACGCAGGGUACGGACAUAUUUUUUUCUCUUACUGACACAAAUCACGCGCAGAUUCAUCAAGCUGUGAAAUAUAUUAAGUUCACAGGGCUUUAACAAAGGGUUAGAAAACCACAAGAACCUGCUGUGAUUCAAACUACUUUCAGAUGUCCUUUUAAUUAUAUUAAAUGAAAGUUUGGGUUGGCUUUGAUGCUUAUGGGCAAACAAGGAAAUCCAUUGAAAGAACUGCUAAAAGUACUCCCUGUUGCUGUGGUUAAUAUACUACAUUGUAUGCACACUGCCAACCAAUUUAUUCUAGUCACUUUAACAAGGAUAUGCAGCCUGACGGGCCACACAGGAUAGUAUCACGAGUCAGGCAGAGCACAAAUCAUUAGAGGGCUAAGAAAGUUGUUUGACAUGCACCACAGAGCUCUUUGUCACACAGCCAAUUAAGUGACCAAACAAGGAACUUGAAAAUACUCAUUAAUUUCUUCCUAGCAAUAUAAAUGGAACAUAGACUCCUUCUUGUCUCGUGCACCGAAGGCACCCAAGUAAAACUGGCAUAAUUCAAUUUGCACUUUGUCAAGGGUGCGAGCAGCAACUUCGGUUCACAGAGAGUCUGAGUUAGGCGCACGGGAAUGGAAAGCAUGGGUAAAAAGUCUGCAGAUAUUUUUACUAAGGUAUAGAUUUCUGGACUCUGUGUGGAAUUCUUCAUGUCCAUCAACAGUUGGGAGCGCUUUUGCGCUUGAAUUUUUAGGUCAUGGUUUUUUGAGCAGAUGCUGCAGUCUGAGCAUCAUUUCUUCUUCCUUGGGGUGAGGCUGGAGAGUUGGCGACUCAACACCUAACAGAGCAGCAUGCCUCACUUACAGAGGACUCAAGCGCUGUUCCCAGGACCCAUGUCAAGGGAGGCACAACCACCUGGGCCUUGGUAUGGCUAAAAUCUCUAUGAUAUCGCUCUUGAAGUAAAGCAGGACUAUAGACUUUAGGGAGAACAUAUUACCCCUGAGACUUGAGGAGCAGUAGCAAAAGGGUAAAAGGUGUAUUUAUUAACUAAGAAAAUGUUUCAAUCUAAAGCAGGAAGAAAGAACACCAGUAAUUCUUAAUAGUUCUUUCUGAAGAAAAGAACAAUGUUGCUAACAAAUAUUACAAACUGAAGGGUAGAAUUUUAAAGUUGAAAAGAUGAACGACAUUAUGUGUACAUGUAUAACACAUGAGUACACUGGCUCCUAAGCAGUUUGUUUGUAUGUAUAUAUUUAUAUCCUACUUCCCAAUUCUUAUUAAAAUCACACCCAUCUGAUUGGAAGCAUAUGGUCUUUUGAUGGUUCAUGGAUUCCCAAAUGUUACACCAUCUGACUCAUGACCAGAGAGUCCUGAAUCUGCUACUAAGCUUGUGUGUUCCAGCGUGUGUGUGUGUGUGUGUGUGUGUGUGUGUGUGUGUGUGUGUGUGUGUGUGUCAGGAAGAGAGCAGAGUACCCAGGUCGAGAAGUUGGGUGAUAUGGGAAACCUGACAGAUUUUGUAAAAUCCGAAAGAAACAUAAUGUAGGACAUCACUCUGGAAACUAGUCUGAUAACUCUGUCAACAGCUUUUUCUUUUCUUAAAAUUAUGUUUAUAAAUCAGGGUGUCCUUUGAAAAUCUGUUUCUUAAUAUAGCAGUACAAUGUACUGAUAACACAGCCACUGAACAUGGAUGCAUC
This 5679-nucleotide small RNA is filed under the name Rattus norvegicus (Norway rat). Its description in RNAcentral is "uncharacterized LOC108352841". Lineage: Eukaryota; Metazoa; Chordata; Mammalia; Rodentia; Muridae. The record is from RNAcentral.